UAACAUUAGGGUCGGUUCAAUCGAGGUAGAUAUUCGCAUCCCGCCUUCUGUCCAAAUAAUACAACAGAUAGGGGUGCGGAAAACCCAAUAACCCUUAACAGUACAUUGUUUUUCCUUCGUCAUUUGGGUUUUAUUAAAAACCAGGAAAUGGCCGCAUUUACGCUUGAUUGGCCGGCUUUUUUGCCUAAAUUAAAAAAAUUCUAUAUUUUUUUUU
This 214-nucleotide non-coding RNA is filed under the name Sycobia sp. Sy_11. The record is from RNAcentral. Lineage: Eukaryota; Metazoa; Arthropoda; Insecta; Hymenoptera; Epichrysomallidae.